Molecule: ribosomal RNA, 479 nt
Filed under: uncultured bacterium
Lineage: Bacteria
Description: partial 16S ribosomal RNA
Rfam family: Bacterial small subunit ribosomal RNA
Source: RNAcentral
GAUGAACGCUAGCGGGAGGCCUAACACAUGCAAGCCGAGCGGUAUUUGUUCUUCGGAACAGAGGGAGCGGCGCACGGGUGCGGAACACGUGUGCAACCUGCCUUUAUCUGGGGGAUAGCCUUUCGAAAGGAAGAUUAAUACCCCAUAAUAUAUUGAGUGGCAUCAUUUGAUAUUGAAAACUCCGGUGGAUAGAGAUGGGCACGCGCAAGAUUAGAUAGUUGGUGAGGUAACGGCUCACCAAGUCAAUGAUCUUUAGGGGGCCUGAGAGGGUGAUCCCCCACACUGGUACUGAGACACGGACCAGACUCCUACGGGAGGCAGCAGUGAGGAAUAUUGGACGAUGAGUUAGGGCCUGAUCCAGCCAUCCCGCGUGAAGGACGACGGCCCUAUGGGUUGUAAACUUCUUUUGUAUAGGGAUAAACCUACUCUCGUGAGAGUAGCUGAAGGUACUAUACGAAUAAGCACCGGCUAACUCCGUG